This 780-nucleotide long non-coding RNA is filed under the name Cricetulus griseus (Chinese hamster). Its description in RNAcentral is "lncRNA (ENSCGRG00015043436.1)". The record is from RNAcentral. Lineage: Eukaryota; Metazoa; Chordata; Mammalia; Rodentia; Cricetidae.
CAAAAACCAAACAAAAGGAAACACAGCAGGACUUGUUAAAGAGACUUAUUCUGACUUCCCUGCUGACAGUCAAAAGGAAUUAGUCAUGUGGUUGUUCGGAAUGUGCAAUCACCUGAGACUAAAAUGACCUCACCAGAGUAAACGACAGAGCACAACAUACCCGUAAUACAGGAUUUGCAGGGGAGAAUGAACUAUGUACUAGCGUUUUGCCAUUCUUGCCCCACCCUCGCCUGCCACCAAUGAGGUUAGUAUUCUCUAGUGAUAACUAGAGGAACUUCCUCUAGCUCUUCUGGAACAGCUUUUUCUUUUGUGAUGGGAUUUCAUGAUAUAGACCAUGCUGGUCUGUAAUCUACAGUCAUCUUGCCACAGGCUCCAGAUGCUAGGACUACAGAGCCUAAAAUCAGCCAGAUGAUCCAGGAAACUCUGGGAGUCCUGAUUCGCUUCCAAAGGCAAUUUGUUCUUCAUUGCCUGCUGCAUGGAUUGCUGUUUCAAUUAAGGUUUUCCAUGUUUCACAUAAAAGCAUGCACAGAGACUUAAAGAAUCAAUUUCAGUAUCACGGGUUUAUACACACAAAUCACCUUGCUUUCCCUGGUUCUCUUUCUUUCUUCUCUCCCUGGCUCCACCCUAUCCCCCAAUUCCAUUAAUAUUCAUUUUAAAAUAAAACACUUUGAUGUGUAUGUUGGUAAAAUCUUUUAACAUUUUUCUUUCUCUAAAUUUUAUAUUAUGAUCACCAAGAUGUCCCAUGAUUGUAAACAUUUUGCAAAUUUCACAGUAUAUUAA